AGCUCCAAUAGCGUAUAUUAAAGUUGUUGCGGUUAAAAAGCUCGUAGUUGGAUUUCUGUUGAGGGUGACCGGUCGGCUCUUUGAGCGCGUAUCUGGUUCAGCCUUGGCAUCCUCUUGGGGAACGCUACUGUGCUUGAUUGCAUGGGGCGGUAUUCAAGACUUUUACUUUGAGGAAAUUAGAGUGUUCACUGCAAGCGUUAGCAAUUGAAUACAUUAGCAUGGAAUAAUAAUAUAGGACCUUGGUACUAUUUUGUUGGUUUCUAGAACUAAGGUAAUGAUUAAUAGGGACAAUUGGGGGCAUUCGUAUUAACGCGUCAGAGGUGGAAUUCUUAGAUUGCGUUACGACGAACUACUGCGAAAGCAUUUGCCAAGGAUGUUUUCA
RNAcentral lists this ribosomal RNA (382 nucleotides) under uncultured eukaryote. RNAcentral describes it as "SSU rRNA". It matches the Rfam family "Eukaryotic small subunit ribosomal RNA", at positions 587 to 972 of the family's 1831-position model. The record is from RNAcentral.